UUUAACAAGGUUGCUUUUUAUAUUUUGGAAGUGUCUUUUUACAAAACAAUCUAUACCAUUCACAAGAGGUUCUGCAAUGUAAUUACAUUAUGGAUGUGUUUAAUAACAGAUGACCAGAUCACCGUAAGGCUGCCGAAAUCUCGAAAUCGUAGGUGAUAUCACAAAACCAUAGUGUCAGAAAUGGGCAACAACGAAACUCGUUACCAGACAGCUGAGAUCCCAGACGAGGUGGAUGAUUUUUAUCAGAUUGUCGAACACGAUAAUGUGAGUUUGGAUUUAGAAGAUGAUAUUCCAGUGGAGAAGCAUACAGUCCGUGAGAUAUCUAAUAAAGAGAUUUUCAAUAUUUUGAAAACAUCAGAUUUUCUCCAUCACGAAAGCGAUCGAGAGUUCGUUUGGGAUGCUGCAAGUCAUAUAGCAG
Molecule: long non-coding RNA, 418 nt
Organism: Mizuhopecten yessoensis (Yesso scallop)
Lineage: Eukaryota; Metazoa; Mollusca; Bivalvia; Pectinida; Pectinidae
Exons: 4
Source: RefSeq, a predicted model, not a curated record